AGCAGCCGCGGUAAUUCCAGCUCCAAUAGCGUAUAUUAAAGUUGUUGCAGUUAAAAAGCUCGUAGUUGAAUUUCGGGAUUCUACCGUUGGUCGGGCUAACAAGUCUGUACUGGUGUGUAGAAUUUCUACCUUCUGGGGAACUAUCAUGUUAUUAAUUUAGCGUGGUGGGAAACCAGGACCUUUACCUUGAAAAAUUAGAGUGUUCAAAGCAGGCUUACGUCUGAAUACAUUAGCAUGGAAUAAUAGAAUAGGACGGUGGUCCUGUUUUGUUGGUUUCUGAAUCACCGUAAUGAUUAAUAGGGAUAGUUGGGGGCAUUAGUAUUCAAUUGUCAGAGGUGAAAUUCUUGGAUUUAUUGAAGACUAACUUCUGCGAAAGCAUUUGCCAAGGAUGUUUUCAUUAAUCAAGAACGAAAGUUAGGGGAUCGAAGACGAUCAGAUACCGUCGUAGUCUUAACCAUAAACUAUGCCGACUAGGGAUCGGACGAUGUUA
RNAcentral lists this ribosomal RNA (490 nucleotides) under uncultured Scutellospora. RNAcentral's name for it is "SSU rRNA". It matches the Rfam family "Eukaryotic small subunit ribosomal RNA", at positions 569 to 1065 of the family's 1831-position model. The record is from RNAcentral. Lineage: Eukaryota; Fungi; Glomeromycota; Glomeromycetes; Diversisporales; Gigasporaceae.